This 252-nucleotide ribosomal RNA is filed under the name uncultured bacterium. RNAcentral's name for it is "partial 16S ribosomal RNA". It matches the Rfam family "Bacterial small subunit ribosomal RNA", at positions 524 to 776 of the family's 1533-position model. The record is from RNAcentral.
UACGGAGGAUGCGAGCGUUAUCCGGAUUUAUUGGGUUUAAAGGGUGCGUAGGCGGGAUGCCAAGUCAGCGGUAAAAAUGCGGUGCUCAACGCCGUCGAGCCGUUGAAACUGGCGUUCUUGAGUGGGCGAGAAGUAUGCGGAAUGCGUGGUGUAGCGGUGAAAUGCAUAGAUAUCACGCAGAACUCCGAUUGCGAAGGCAGCAUACCGGCGCCCUACUGACGCUGAGGCACGAAAGCGUGGGGAGCGAACAGG